UCAUUAUUGCCUAAAAAAAUAAUAACAAAGUGAUUCUCACUUCAUGUUCGCCUAAUUAUUAGCAUUUCUCCACAUAUCUGAACCUAUAUUAGUCCUCCAUAUAUUAGCAUCUCCUCGUUCCUGCUCUUGUGUUUGAACAAUGGGUUCAUGAUCAUAGUCUUCGGAAUUUGGUAACACUGAAGAUGAAGACUCGUCAGUAGGUUCCACUGGAAAUUGAACGACAUUCUUUGCGAAGAAAAUUAUGAAGUGCUGCACAUGCCAACACAAGCUCUGCUUGUGUUUUAAAUAGAAAUGGAGGUGCUGACUUAAAAAUUGUGAACCGCGAUUUAAAAAUACCAAAUAUCCUCUCAAUC
Molecule: long non-coding RNA, 353 nt
Filed under: Glycine max (soybean)
Lineage: Eukaryota; Viridiplantae; Streptophyta; Magnoliopsida; Fabales; Fabaceae
Description: long non-coding RNA (GMAX_LNC002634)
Source: RNAcentral